AAGGCUUUUUGCUCCCUCGGGGUGAGGUGUGGUUUUGGCCGAAGAUGAGGUGUUUUGGUAGCCCUGUGGAUGCUGUGUGGUGUCUGGAAUGGGGCGUGUAUGUUCCCAUCAUGCCCCUUCCCCUCUGCUUGCAGAGCUGAGGACAGACAGGUCUGAGGAGCAGAGCAGGAGCUGUGGGAAGGAGAAGAGCAAUAUGAAGAUGGAGUGUAAGAUGAGGCCAGCAAGGGAAAAGAA
Molecule: long non-coding RNA, 234 nt
Organism: Gopherus evgoodei (Goodes thornscrub tortoise)
Lineage: Eukaryota; Metazoa; Chordata; Testudines; Testudinidae
Exons: 3
Source: RefSeq, a predicted model, not a curated record